AGCAGCCGCGGUAAUUCCAGCUCCAAUAGCGUAUAUUAAAGUUGUUGCAGUUAAAGAGCUCGUAGUUGAAUUUCGGGAUCAGUACGCUGGUCGUGCCUUUGGUAUGUACUGGUGUCACUGAUUCCUCCCUUCUGAAGAACCGUUAUGCCAUUUAUUUGGUGUGGCGGGAAAUCAGGACUGUUACUUUGAAAAAAUUAGAGUGUUUAAAGCAGGCUCGCGCUUGAAUACAUUAGCAUGGAAUAAUGAAAUAGGACGUUUGAUUCUAUUUUGUUGGUUUCUAGGAUCGACGUAAUGAUUAAUAGGGAUAGUUGGGGGCAUUAGUAUUCAAUUGUCAGAGGUGAAAUUCUUGGAUUUAUUGAAGACUAACUACUGCGAAAGCAUUUGCCAAGGAUGUUUUCAUUAAUCAAGAACGAAAGUUAGGGGAUCGAAGACGAUCAGAUACCGUCGUAGUCUUAACCAUAAACUAUGCCGA
RNAcentral lists this ribosomal RNA (472 nucleotides) under uncultured Glomus. RNAcentral describes it as "SSU rRNA". It matches the Rfam family "Eukaryotic small subunit ribosomal RNA", at positions 569 to 1045 of the family's 1831-position model. Lineage: Eukaryota; Fungi; Glomeromycota; Glomeromycetes; Glomerales; Glomeraceae. The record is from RNAcentral.